GGUCAUCAACCGGCUCCAGAGGACACUCCUGCACACCUUCCGUAUGCACGUGCAGGACUUCCUGCAGGAGAAGGUGCACUCCCUGAUCCAGGAGGAGCUCAACAAGUUCAGCCUCGGUGACAUCACUAUGCUGGACAUCCUGGCAUGACGGCAGCCUCCGGGGGUCGCCUCGCAGGCAGCCGCGUCGCACGCCUGAAGAGGUCACCGCCGGAGGGCACCACUUUCCCGGGGAGAGCAGAACGGACCAAUGGGAGACGACGCUGUGCGCUCGGACACAAGCUCCCUAACAGAACUCGAAAGCGGCGCAGUUGUGACGUGACCAACGCGAAAAGACAGAGCGGGCGAACCCAUUGUAAACCGCCGCGGAAUAUCGUCCGCCAAUCGGAGGACUGGGUUCACGUGACGUCACACUGGCGCAUUGGUGGCAGACCCAGACUUUGCUACCCUCUCGAACAUGACCCGUGUUGAGGUGGCGCAAGAGGCGUGCGACGGUCGAGGGGGACCGGACCUUCGAGCUCGACGCGACCAUGUGACGCACCGUGACGAGGCACGUGACCUGUGAAGCGUGCAGGCGGUCUGGAGUGCCGAUUGAGGCUUCGCCAUAUCAUGCAGCGAUACGAUGACGACCGGAUGAGCGGGGGAGUUAUGCACUUCUGACAGCAUGUUAUGCUCAGUACUGCAAGCACCUCUAAUCGUGUUGCGAUUUCUGGAAACAAGCGGAAGAACAACGCCUUAGUACCUGCGGCUGCGUCGCUUUCUCACUACAAGUUAAUUCGCUGGGACUGUACGUUUGUUUCCAAAGCUGGAUAUCGUGUUCAGUGUAUAGGUGCAGGUCACGUUAUUUCACACAGCAUUCGUAUACAUAGAUGCUUCUUU
Long non-coding RNA from Pollicipes pollicipes, 876 nucleotides. RefSeq lists it as uncharacterized. The transcript is spliced from 2 exons. The record is from RefSeq and is a predicted model, not a curated record. NCBI's taxonomy places the organism in Eukaryota, Metazoa, Arthropoda, Thecostraca, Pollicipedomorpha, Pollicipedidae.